AGCAGCUGCACUGUUCUGGGCUGUUCUCUGGGUCCCUGUGGCAGUCAGUUGGCAGGGAAGCUUGGAGGGGGCCCCUCCACUGGCGAAGAGCACGGAAGACUGAACCCACCAGAAGUGGGCUGGAACACCCGACUGUCAACUGAGAGAAACGGUCCCCGGGGACCAGCCACGGACUGAUUACUGACAACUCUAUUUUCAGAAAGAGCCACAAGGUAAAGACUAGUCCACGAACGAGCGAGCGAAGCCACUCUGAGGAGAGCUGGGUCAGAAACUUUUUCUGUAAAGGACCAGAUGGCACAUAUUUUAGGUUUUGUGGACCAUACCAUCUCUAGUGCAAUGACAACCCUACUGUUGCAGCAUGAAAGCAGCCAUAGACAGGACAACCCUGACUCUGGAGGUAGGCGUGGGCCAGAUGGCUCAGGGGAAGAAUCAACUGACGGAUACACACAACACGAAAACACUCAAGCUCACUAAUAACCAUGGAAGGGGACAAAUGACAGUAAGACCCUUUGGAAAUGUUUUAAACAAGGAAAAGAUGUGGUCAGAAGAUAGCUCUUCUUCCAACCGGAAAGUUCAAUGUCACACAUGACUCCAGAUUCCAAUGGUCCAGAUCCCAGAUUUUUCUGGAUCAAAAUAGCAACAGAAACACUGGACUUCCAUGGAAUCAGUCGUAAAUCAACGGUGCCAUUUCUACUAUGAACUGGACAGCUGCUACUACCCUCAUGAUUCUGCUGUGCGCAUUCCUGGUGUGGUUUAUAUCAAACAGCUUUCUGACGUGCUCCCUUUUGAGUCUGUAAUGAGGAGCCUAAGCCAACCCACUGCAUCGAGAAGGUCAGUGCAUACAACUCUUCAAUAGGCCACUCUAUUUACUCCCCUGACAACCACCGGGAACCUGUUUUGUCCUGAGACGACCUGACCCAUUGCCGGUGACACAAAGUUCCCAAUCUAUACACACAUUAUGUUCCAGAAAUCCAUUUAAAUGUCCAUGAGGAUAUAUCUUCCCAUAAAAACAAUGUUACAGAUGUUCUCACUAAGAUGCCUCUACUGCAUAAUACGGCUGGAUUAGAGGACAAAGAACAUGCCCACGAUAAGUUUGCGCUUAGGACUUUUCUAUUAAGUACUUAAUUUAGCCUUUAAAAACACUGUUAUUAAGUAAAUACUGCUAUU
Rhinolophus ferrumequinum (greater horseshoe bat) is the source of this 1167-nucleotide long non-coding RNA. RefSeq lists it as uncharacterized. The record is from RefSeq and is a predicted model, not a curated record. Lineage: Eukaryota; Metazoa; Chordata; Mammalia; Chiroptera; Rhinolophidae. The transcript has 4 exons.